This 1361-nucleotide ribosomal RNA is filed under the name uncultured bacterium. Its description in RNAcentral is "16S ribosomal RNA". It matches the Rfam family "Bacterial small subunit ribosomal RNA", at positions 8 to 1370 of the family's 1533-position model. The record is from RNAcentral.
AGAGUUUGAUCCUGGCUCAGGAUGAACGCUGGCGGCGUGCCUAACACAUGCAAGUCGAGCGAAGCGCCUUACUUGAUUUCUUCCGGAUGAAAGUAUUGUGACUGAGGGGGAGACGGGUGAGUAACGCCUGCAUAGCCUGCCGCGAUCACGGGGAUAACCCUUAGAAAUGACUGCUUAUACCUCAUAAGACCACGGCACCGCAUGGAGCAAGGGCAAAAACUCCGGCGGUAUGAGAUGGAUCCGCGUCUGAUUAGCUAGUGUGGUAAGGUAACGGCUUACCAAGGCAACAAUCAGUACCCAACCUGAAAGGGUGACCGGCCACAUGGGGACUGAAACACGGCCCAAACUCCUACGGAAGGCAGCAGUGGGGAAUAUUGCACAAUGGGGGAAACCAUGAUGCAGCGAUGCCGCGUGAGCGAUGAAGUAUUUCGGUAUGUAAAGCUGUAUCAGCAGGGAAGAUAAUGGCGCUACCUGAGUAAGAAGCACCGGAUAAAUACGUACCAGCAGCCGCGGUAAUAAGUAUGGUGCAAGCGUUAUCAGGAUUUACUGGGUGUAAAGGGAGAGUAGAUUCAUGGGCUAGUAUGAUGUGAAAACCCGGGGCUCAACCCCGGGUCUGCAUUGGAAACUGUUCAUGUAGAGUGAUGGAGAGGUAAGAGGAAUUCCUAGUGUAGCGGUGAAAUGAGUAGAUAUUAGGAGGAACACCAGUAGAGAAGGCGGUUUUGUGGACUGUAACCGACGAUGAGGCAAGAAAGCGUGGGGAGCCAACAGGAUUAGAUACCCUGGUACUCCCCGCUGUAAACGAUGAGUAAUAGGUGUCGGAGGUUACCCCCUUAGGUGCCGCAGCUAACGCAUUAAGUUCUCCGCGGGGGAGUAGGCAGGCAAGUGUGAAACUCAAGGGAAUUGACGGGGACCCGCACAAGUAGGGGAGCAUGUGGUUUAAUUGGAAGCAACGCGAAGACCCUUACCUAGGCUUGACAUCCUUGUGACCGAGGACUAAUCUCCUCUUUCCCUCCGGGGACAGAAGUGACAGGUGGUGCAUGGUUGUCGUCAGCUCGUGUCGUGAGAUGUUGGGUUAAGUCCCGCAACGAGCGCAACCCUUGUCUUUAGUUGCCAUCAUUAAGUUGGGCACUCUAGAGAGACUGCCAGGGAUAACCUGGAGGAAGGUGGGGAUGACGUCAAAUCAUCAUGCCCCUUAUGCCUAGGGCUACACACGUGCUACAAUGGGUGGUACAGAGGGCAGCCAAGCCGUGAGGUGGAGCAAAUCCCUUAAAGCCAUUCUCAGUUCGGAUUAUAGGCUGUAACUCGCCUACAUGAAGCUGGAGUUACUUGUAAUCGCAGAUCAGCAUGCUGCGGUGAAUGCG